Silurus meridionalis is the source of this 1321-nucleotide long non-coding RNA. RefSeq lists it as uncharacterized. The record is from RefSeq and is a predicted model, not a curated record. Lineage: Eukaryota; Metazoa; Chordata; Actinopteri; Siluriformes; Siluridae. The transcript is spliced from 2 exons.
GUGUGUGUGUGUGUGUGUGUGUGUGUGUGUGUGUGUGUAGGCGUUCCUAAACACCUGAAUGUGAGUAUGAUGAAGGAGGAUCUGUUGAAGCUGGAUGGUGUGGAGUCUGUGGAGGAUCUGAAGCUCUGGGCUUUAACUGCUGAUCGCACUGUGGCUCUCGCACACAUUCAGCUUGCACCAGGCAGUGUGGGAAACUGGGAGGAAGUGCAGUCGAAAGCUCGACACCUGUUGAUGAUGUCACACGGCGUGUCCCACUGCACGGUGCAGCUUCAGAGCCAAACACACCGUUUCACACAAUCCUGCUCCAACUGUGUGUUAACCAGUGCCUGAACACACACACAAACACACACACACACACGCCCAACAGGGCAUCUAAUUUCUUUACAGGUUGCUAUGCAACAGCAAAAAGCGCCAAAGCCGGAGCGAGUGUGUUUUCAGUUUAAACAAACUACACUUUUUCAUCUUCUUUUCUUUUUUUACCUUUCUCAGACCACACACACACACACACACACACACACACACACACACACACACACACAUUUCAGUAAAUAAAAGCUGACUUCUGUAACAUUGACACUUAUAUUCAGUUCAUAAAAACACUUUUUCUUCAUGUUUAGUUUGGAAUAAUUUCAGUGCCGAAUCCCGGAUCACGUGAUCCUCACUCUCCUCCGAAUCCCGGAUCACGUGAUCCUCACUCUCCUCCUGAUCUUGCGCUAAUGAUGUGUGUGAGAAUUGGAGCUGAUCAUCCACACAUUUAUCCUGAGAGAAUUUUUCCUAUAUUUUGCUUUAACAUUGGUUAUAUUAAACUCAUUAAUUAAUUAUUCCAUCAUCUGAUGAGGAAAUGAAUGAAACUGAUCCAGUUGAUCUUUAUUUGAUUAUUGCACUGUUUCUUUUGUUUGUGUUUUAUUUUAAUGUGUUGGAGUUUAUAGGAACUGAAAUGUUUUACGAGAGGAAGCAGUGUGGCUUUCCAGCGAGCCGUCCUGGGGGUCCACCUCCAGAGUCUCAGAUCAUCACCACCUUUUAUUCUUUUAUUACUUUUAUUAUGAUUUUUGUUGGUUUUAUUUUUUCAGAAGGUUAAUAAUGUUGGGAUUGUUGUGUUUCAAUCUAAAACACCGUCUAUGCCUCCAAAUGUUUUUGUUUACAUGUUUAUUUACAUUCAUUAAUUACUUGUAAUUUCUUCUCGUCUGAUGAUUUGCACAUUCCAGGAACUUGAACAGAGAUGAAUCCUGUUGUUUGCAGUAUUUAUGUUGAACUGUGAAACUCUGCACUGUGGGAGUGGAACAGAUUCUUCUCAAAAUAAACCUGUUUUGAAGUCCUGUAA